Non-coding RNA from Camellia sinensis, 370 nucleotides. NCBI's taxonomy places the organism in Eukaryota, Viridiplantae, Streptophyta, Magnoliopsida, Ericales, Theaceae. The record is from RefSeq and is a predicted model, not a curated record.
UGUUUGAUGUGAAUUUUAAUUGACUUUUGUUUACUUCAUCCUUUUGAUGUGAAUUUUAAUUAUAGGUAUUUCUCGAUCCGUUUGAUGUGAAUUUUAAUCUAACUCAGGUUUGUUAAGGGAACCAGACCAUAUAUGUUCCCUGUUCUGUGUUGGCUAGAACAUCUUGGGGGAGAGGUGAAGAUCCUUGACAAGGAUCUGAUAUUGGUUAAACUUCACUCAUUUCCUCACCUGCAGAAUUUUCUUCUUCAAGCUAUGUCUCUUAACUGUUAUCUCCAUUUUUUUGUUUGCCCCAGGUAUGCAUUAGAUGAUAUUGGUUCUGGAUCUCAUGUGCAUCUCAGUUUGUGUCAGAGUUGAACCCAUAUGAAUAGGU